UACCAGCUGUUAGGUAAGGACUCUCCAGCCCCAAGCCUUGAUAACGCAAAGGACUGCCUCCUCUUGAAUUCUCCCCAUCUGCCUAUCCCCUGCCCAUCUCUGCCCUUUUGGCCACUCUGCACAGUAGUACUUCUUGCAUUAGCAUGUCCAUUAAAUUAGGCUAGUUUUUUUCUUUUAUCAGGCUAACAACUAGCAAGUAAGGCUAUUCUGAACCAUCAGUUAAACUAAACUCGCUUUGAUGGAUAACAUGUGAAUCCUAUUGUUACCAUGUCUCCCCCAUCUCCUAAAUUUUUAUUUUUAAGACACUGACAGUUAACACCUAUACUGGACUGGGUCAGUUCUGCUGUGCACCACUAUUGGCUUCUCUCUCUUUCCUACCAAUAUUUAUCAAUGUAACUACCGUAGCUUCUUCUUUCCUAUUUCCAAACAGCCUGCGCUGCAACCCAUCUUUUCUCUUGUAAUUAGUAAAAAAAGAAAUAUAGAUCCAGCUAAUGGCUGAAAAAUGAUGGCACUGGAUUAUCUAUUAAUGUCUCUUAAGACAAAAAAAGACAGGGGGGAACAGCAAAGCUAUAUUCCACCAUACAAUUACAAAACAACACCCCAUUAAAGGUUUCACUAUGCAACAGGAACUUUCUGUUCCCAAUCAGAUUAUUGUUACCACUAGCUGUCCCUUUUAACAGAUAAUACCAGUAAUUAGAGUGUUCCACAUGACGAGUUAUUAUUAUUAGGUGGCAGAUGUUUAGUACUCUUGUUGACACCUCCCUAGACAAGUAUUUUAAUUAAUACCAAUAAUAUUUUCUUGCAAUGCAAGCAUAUACACAACCAAGUACAGUAUGUCACAAUCAAAAUAUUGUAGCAUUUUGUUAUUUUUAAUGUACUUCUGGCUGCCGCUCAAAGCACCGCUUUAAAAACAAAGAAGGUGUAAACUACAACACAGCCUGCUUCAUUUCCAAGAGGAGCCAGGAUGAUGUGAUGCAAUAUGAUACAAUGUGAGUCACAAAGGCAGCCUGCCAUAGCAACUUCCUGCUUUUCUGCCAAAGAUCCUCCCCUCAAGACCUGAUUAUGUUAUGAGGCUUGGGCUCCCAGGAAACUGGAGAUUUGCUUGUUCAGGUAACUGAUGCUGCUAAAACCCAGAGUUAUUAAAGGGUGAGAAAUGCAAAAUACUUGCAGACUGAGAUGUAGUCCAAAAUGAUGGCCCUCAGAGAUGUGCCUGUGAAACAGUUUUUCUUAGGAUAAAAAUGUACCUACAAUACGCAUGUGGUAUGUUUUGCAUGUAGGUCUAAAGAAAGAAGAAUCAUAACAGACUGAUAUCAAAAUUAAUUUAAUGUAGUCCUGGAGACAUUUUUUUGUCAUACCUACAGAUUUUUUGUCUUUCAGAAAUGUAAACAUUAGCUCCAAACUAUGAAGGCAGUAUUUGCCAGAAGCCAAUGGGGCAUAUAUAACCAUCAUGGUGGUAAAAUGUACAAUAGUAUACUGGAAAAUGUAGCACAGAAGUGGUGGAGGUUAUGAUAAAACAUUGUCCAAACUGUCAUCAAGAGAAAAUGAAACGAUCACAAAAGCUGAUACAAAGUAAUGCUUGUUGAAUGUACUACACUGUUAAUGAGCAAGUGACAGGCUGGGGCAAAAAAUGUUUGCAGUGAGCAGAAGUCCAUGAAAUGGAUCAGGGCAGUAAACAAUUGGAAAUAAAAUGGAGGCACGUUAAAAUGCCUAGAUGGAAGAUUGCAUUUUUAUAAUUCCAUUUCCAGUGAAAUAAGUGGAAUCAUAUCAGAUCAGGACUGGAAAUAAAACCUUUAUGACAUACACGUAUGGCACUGUGAUUGUUUUCAUCCAUUUCGACUUAAAAAAAAAACACAGCCAAAACAUGGUGUUUUUCUGCCUACCAGCCCCACCUCCUGCUAAAACCUCAUAGCACUGCAAAUUGAAAACAAGAAAAGAUUUACACAAAGCCUGCAAGCAUCAACUAAAGCCCAGCUCCCCAAACUUAAAAAAUAUAUGCAUUCUUUUGUGAGAGAGGACCUUGAUGCUUAAAAACAUCAGGCGUCUGAAUUUCUGGAGAUGUUAUGUGUUUGAACAAAUCCCCAGCAUUUAGGAUAGCUGUCUGAAAUGCGUAUUAGACAGAAACAAGCCAGUUGCCAGUUCUCAGAGGGAUAAGAUUGUCAAUGUACUUCUAACUGCUUCAAAGACUAACUGAUGCACUUGGGGGCUCUUCGAGGAAUGUGGGGGUAUAAAAGAGAUUCUCUGGGGAUUGCAAUACCUUCAGUUUGCAAUAAAUAGGAGGGAAAUACCUAUCUGGUUUUUCUGUGGCUCAGUUUGUAGGUCAAGAUUAAUACAACAGCAGCAGCAUUGUGAAGGCUAAUGUACAAUCUAUAAAACUCUUUUUAGCAGGCAUGAAUAAGAGAAAGAGCUAGCCUUGUGAUAUAUGACUUGAUUUUGAUGGUUCAACGUUCUUGCAGAAAUUGACUUCAGCUGGUUAUACCAAUCCAUAAAAUAUUUCUAUGCUUGCUCCCCAAAUGGAGCAAUGACUCAGGUUUAGAUUCCUUUAGUGUGGGAAGUAACCCCCCCCCCAAGAAGGAAACAUUAAAAAGGAGAAUAUUAUGUUUCCUCAGAGAAUCUUAAAAGAGGCAGGAAAGCAUGCCCAGUUUUCUUAAUAGCCUCAAGUCUCCCUCCCCCAAGCAGAAACCAGCUCUGUAGAAAUGCUGAU
This is a long non-coding RNA of Crotalus tigris (Tiger rattlesnake), 2701 nucleotides long. RefSeq lists it as uncharacterized. The record is from RefSeq and is a predicted model, not a curated record. Lineage: Eukaryota; Metazoa; Chordata; Lepidosauria; Squamata; Viperidae. The transcript has 4 exons.